GACGAACGCUGGCGGCGUGCUUAACACAUGCAAGUCGAACGGUGAAGCGAGUGCUUGCACUCGUGGAUCAGUGGCGAACGGGUGAGUAACACGUGAGUAACCUGCCCAUCACUCUGGGAUAAGCACUGGAAACGGUGUCUAAUACUGGAUACGACCAACCCUUGCAUGGGGUGUUGGUGGAAAGAUUUAUCGGUGAUGGAUGGACUCGCGGCCUAUCAGCUUGUUGGCGGGGUAAUGGCCCACCAAGGCGACGACGGGUAGCCGGCCUGAGAGGGUGACCGGCCACACUGGGACUGAGACACGGCCCAGACUCCUACGGGAGGCAGCAGUGGGGAAUAUUGCACAAUGGGCGAAAGCCUGAUGCAGCGACGCUGCGUGAGGGAUGACGGCCUUCGGGUUGUAAACCUCUUUCAGCAGGGAAGAAGCGAAAGUGACGGUACCUGCAGAAGAAGCACCGGCUAACUACGUG
This 469-nucleotide ribosomal RNA is filed under the name uncultured bacterium. Its description in RNAcentral is "partial 16S ribosomal RNA". It matches the Rfam family "Bacterial small subunit ribosomal RNA", at positions 28 to 507 of the family's 1533-position model. The record is from RNAcentral.